GGCAAAACCGCGGCCCGGGCUAGGGUCUCCAUUCCUGUCCCUGCCCGCCCCGGAGCACACGAACGGUACCUGGCGGGGAGCGGGAGAAGUUGCGUCCGGCCGCGCUGACCGCCUGGAUGUAGAAGUACCGCACGGGCACGCAAUUGCAUUUACAGCGAAGGACAGAGCAGGGACCCUGUCACUGGGCUCAGCUCCCGGUCCCAGAGAGGAGGCUCAGACACGCAACCAUGCCCAGGUGCUCCUGAGGUCUGUGUGUGAGAUGCUGCUGGUGGCCCUGAUCAGUGCUGUGAUGCUCAGUGAGGGGGGAAAAGGGAUCACAGUAUUAUCCUAUAGAAAAUGUAACAACAAAAUAAUUUCAUGGAUUUAAAAUGUUGGGUUACAAGUAAAGAGGGCGAAACUCCCAUGAUUUGUCUCCUAAGAUUGUUUUAUCGUUUUUACUGUUUGCUGCUACUAGGAAGUAUUUCAAGGUAUGAGUAGAUGGGAGGGCUUACAAGGCUGUAGGAGAAUUAAAUCAAGCUUCUGGGCAAGCCUGGAUUUUCACAUGCAAAGCAAUGAGAGCACAAAUGAAUUCUGCCUGGUUUUGAAUAACGUGAACUUCAAGUCUCUGUGUGUACAGCCCAUGAAAAACAGGUUCCUUGAAGGGGGAAUUAUCAAGUCUGGUUUCCUCCUUGCUUUUGUCUUUAGUCUCUUCAAUUCUUUCACCCCAGAUAGCCACAGAUCUCCACUGACAUACCGUGUCUGAUACUCCCAACAGGUGAGAGAAAACUUGUGUAGUGUUGCAGGGUGCAGAGCAGGGCUGAGGUCAGCCGGGGACAUCAAUCUGCAGAUCAGGAUCAGUCCCUGUGAGGGGAAUUGGGGAUAGCUGCCUGUCCUGGGGUUGUCAGCCUGCAGAUAGGGCCACACUCAGCAGGGAGGGCAGAGGAGAGCUGGAGACCAAUGACCUAUGCCAUCAGUGGGGCAGGGACUGAUGGCCCCAGACCUGAAAUGGUGUCCAUGGGCAGGGGGAGCAUGGGGAGCCCUGAGGAGAUGGGGGGAUCAGGGCCUGAUGGUGCUCUUGGGCCACUGUCCCUGGGAAGGAGCCACCCCUGUUCUGGUAUGGGCUGGGACCAGCUGUUGGGAGCAGCUCUGAGGGAAUGGCCCUGGGGAUUCUGGUGGGCAUGGAGGGACAUGGGCCAUCAAUGGCACUAACAGUGGCCAACGGCAGCCUGGGCUGAAGGAACAUGGGCAGAGCCAGAGGUUGAGGGGAGUGAUUAUCCACCUCCACUCAGUACUCAUUAGACCACAUCUAGAUCCUGCAUCCAGCCUUGGGCUCCCCAGUACAAGACAUCAAUAAACUGGAUCAAAUCCAGGGGAAGCCACUGACAUGGCAGAGCUGGAGCACCGGCCCUGUGAGGAGAAACUGGGGCAGCUGGACUUGUUAAGCCUGUUAAGAGAUACCUUCGAUGAGGGAGUGGACCUCACAGAAGCCCCCAGGAAGAUCAUGAUAUGGUGCAGGGCAGAAGGAUGAAAGACAACUGGCAUGAGCUGAAAUAAGUGAUGGUCACACUGUAACAUCUCCAUGUUAUAGGCUGAGGCACAGGUUGCCCAGAGAGACUGUCCAGUUUCCAUCUUCAGAGAUUUUCAAGCCUCAAAUGGAUGAAGCCUUAAAAAGCCAGCCCUGACCUCGAAGCCAGUCUGCUGUGAGCAGGAGGCUGGACCGUAGACCUUCUGAGGUCACACCCACCCUGACAUAUCCUUUGAUGAAACAAUGACGUUUCUGUCCCUUCUUUCAAAUGUCAUCAAGAUGAUAGAAUGCUCAAAGAUCAUCUAGGUACAUGCACGACCUAGUGGGUAGACAGAGGUCUAGACAGAAAAACCACCUUAGUUCAUAAACUGUUUCCUUCUGAAGCCAGGCUGAAGGACUACUCAGGUACCACAAGUACUGGCUGUAGUAAUUAAGACUGAAAGACUGUGAUUAGUCUCACUCAUUUACACGGCACGUGGCAGCCAGGUUUCACUCAGGCCUAAUUGCAGCUGAAGGGAUCUUCAUGUGGAGCUCAUCACCUGUUAAAACUACUCAUCAAACGCUACCCUUGGCCCCUACGUGGAGUAUUGGCACCUUAAGGCAAGUUGCAGGCAUAUGGCUCUCUAAGGGUUUGAUAUAUCUAUUGUAAAGAUUCUACCACGGAUGGAAAACUAUUUUGUGUGCUGGAGACUUGUCAGCUGGCAGGAUGAGAGAAGGCAGCACAUCCUGCCUGAGCCCAGCAGCUGAUGUGACUGCUGGUUACAGCUGUGAGAUGGACCAAGGCUGCCUGCCCUGCUCAAUCCAUGGCUUUGUUGGCCAUCAGCACCCUGAUGAUGUUGGCAACCAUAUUAAGAUGCUGGAUUUUUUUUUAAUAGUCUACUGCAUUCACAGCAUGUGAAAAACAAAUACAGUAUCAAUACGUUUUUUCAUGUAAAUGCAGAAUUUAUAUCAAACAAAUAGUUUUAAAUGUGAAAAUCCUGUAAAUUCUCAAUAUUUAUAGAAUAUAUUUUGCCAAAGAAAAUCUUGGAAGAGUGGAAGUGUCAAAAUUUGGCUCUGCUAAACUGAAUGGAGCUGAUUGCUAUUCAAAAGGUAUUUCUCCCUAUGUUUUCAUGCAGUUGACUGUUAAAAUACUGUUGUUAUUCAGUGUAAAUUUGAGUUUACAGAUCCUCAACAGGCUGCAGUCUUCCACAACUAAUUUACAAUCAAAAGCAGUUUUUACUUGCUUACAUUAAACCAAGCCACCUGAUUUCCUGUCAUACACAGCAUAGCAAAUGAAAAAAAAAUUAUAUCUGCAAGGUGAGCACUUAAUCCAACUACUGUGGAAUGGUUAGAAAAUAUUUACAAAUAAAAAUGUUCUAAACCAUCCACAUCUAGUCAAGAAAAACUGUAUGACAAUUUACUUCCUUUGUAGACAUUUCUUUUAUUAUUCUUUACCUUAUGUAGACUGGUAUCCCAAAUUUUUGGAUUAAUUUAUUUUGCAGAAAUGUACAACAGCAGAAAUUCCGCACAGAUACUCAGCUGGUUUAUUGUUUUACUCUACAGAAUCCUGUACACACAGAGAAUAAAGACAUUUACAGAAAAACAUAAUCUCUCCUUAGAAUACCACUUUUUACAAGACUGCAAUUAUACAGUAGUCAUCUCCUUCCAGCAUUGCCUAUGUUAGCAUAUUCUUUUAUCCUUGUGAAACAGGCAUGUGGUAGAGAUCAGUUCUGUCUAUAAAUAUACAGUUUAUGUUAGUCCUUCUAUGUACAACAAAAGAAAAAUUACCCCAGCAAAAAGUAAUGAUAUAUAUCAGUACAGAUUUGAACUACAGACCCACUUCUUUAACGAAGCUUACAGUAUGAAAAAAUAAGGAUACAUCUUGCCUACUGUAAUAUUUUCAUCUUUUAGUUUCUUGUGGAGUAGUCAGUGAUACAAGCAUUGCUUGUUUUGUGUAAAAUAUAUUAUUUUAAAAUACCAAUAUACUGUCCUUCAAGUUAGAAAAAUAUAAUUAUGUCCUACAGAAAUUUUAUUGGAUUAAAAAGCAUAUAAAAAUAUGGACCAUCAUUUCAGACCAUAUAUGAAACUAGAAAUAAAGUAGAACAAAAUGUAUAAUUAUUUUAAAAUAUAUCUUCUGGCUCAAUGAGCCACUUCUGAUUUUUCAUGAAAAGAGAACAAAGCUUAGUUAGAAAUUUAAUGGCCAGGGACAAGUUUUGGCUACUGAGUUAAAACACUACAUUAUUGUUGUGGCUGAAGAAGAGCCAAUGGAACAUGUUUACACCCAUUCAGUUUAGAGGAUAAAGAGUACUGUGGUCACAGCAGGAACAGUUGAAAAAUACCAAAAGGGGAUGGUAGUUUAACAAAGGGCAAAGAACCUUUCUUACUGGUUUUAUUUACUCUGCAUGUAAGAAGCCACCAGUCUGUACAGUGCAGUGGUGCUCCAGCCAAGUGCCCUCUCAGCCUGCCCCAGGUGCUGCUGCCCUGAAGGAGCCCAGUGGCUGCACGUACCUCAUCCUGAGACCAGCCAAGCAGAGGCAGCUACAGAACUCUAAGACCUCACAAACUGCUUUGGUCAUUUUCUCACUGCUAGAACAACUAAAGAUUCAACCUGUGCGGUUAAUACAGGAAACCAACAAGCUAAAUCUUUUUAUAUUUUGAAUUGUUAAAAGUGUAUGUCUUUUGAUCCAAAUUAACCUGUUUCUAAGAAAUCUGGCCAGCCAUGUCAACUGUAACCAAAGCUGUGCUGGUUAUGAAUCGUCCAUGUCUGGAAAGCAGAUUUUCACGCUCAGCUUUCUUUCUUUUGAUCAGUUUCUCAGUGCUGUGCCCUGUGUUGAGCUUUUACUCCUACACUAGAAAUACUUCUGCAACUCACAUUGCUCACUGCUCUUGCAAUGCUGAAAAGUCCUGGUGUGGAAUCUGCCUCAACAGCACAGCAGAACAAAUGCCACCAGGGACAUUGUUGCUAUGCUUCCCAGGAAUGCAGAAAAAGAACAUUCAUGCAGAAUGCGCUGUAAAGAUUUAAGAGGUUUCAUUUUGUGAGGAUAUUUGUUCAGUGGGAAGGAUUAGCAUUAUCAUUCUUGAUAAUGAGGAACAUCAGAGAAACAACAAAUUAUCAGCAAAAUAACUUCUUGGUUUUCUGUUAAGUUCUGUAAGAAAAAGCAGCUCAUGCUAGAAUUUAUCCAUUCCAGCACUGUGUAGCUGGCAGGAACCUAACUACUGCUUGCUGACUCAGAGGAAAGCCAUCCCUGGACUUACACUGCCCAAAGCUCCACAGCUGUUUACCUUCUAUUAUUUGGGGGAGGGAUUUUUUAACAUUGAUUUUCCCUGCUAAGAGAAACAGGAAAGGUGAAGCCACACAUUUAAUACAAAAGUCAAAUGCUCAGCUAGUAUACCUUACUAACUCCCUUGAAACUAAGGAAGCUGUACCAAUUUAUAGCAGCACAA
Haemorhous mexicanus (house finch) is the source of this 4927-nucleotide long non-coding RNA. RefSeq lists it as uncharacterized. NCBI's taxonomy places the organism in Eukaryota, Metazoa, Chordata, Aves, Passeriformes, Fringillidae. The record is from RefSeq and is a predicted model, not a curated record. The transcript is spliced from 2 exons.